This 253-nucleotide ribosomal RNA is filed under the name uncultured bacterium. RNAcentral describes it as "partial 16S ribosomal RNA". It matches the Rfam family "Bacterial small subunit ribosomal RNA", at positions 524 to 776 of the family's 1533-position model. The record is from RNAcentral.
UACGAAGGGGGCUAGCGUUGUUCGGAAUUACUGGGCGUAAAGCGUGCGCAGGCGGCUGCUCAAGUCAGGGGUGAAAGCCCAGAGCUCAACUCUGGAAUUGCCUUUGAGACUGAGUGGCUUGAGUACGAGAGAGGUGAGUGGAAUUCCCAGUGUAGAGGUGAAAUUCGUAGAUAUUGGGAAGAACACCGGUGGCGAAGGCGGCUCACUGGCUCGUAACUGACGCUCAUGCACGACAGCGUGGGGAUCAAACAGG